Molecule: ribosomal RNA, 497 nt
Filed under: uncultured bacterium
Lineage: Bacteria
Description: partial 16S ribosomal RNA
Rfam family: Bacterial small subunit ribosomal RNA
Source: RNAcentral
GAUGAACGCUGGCGGCGUGCCUAAUACAUGCAAGUCGAGCGAACGGACGAGAAGCUUGCUUCUCUGAUGUUAGCGGCGGACGGGUGAGUAACACGUGUAUAACCUACCUAUAAGACUGGGAUAACUUCGGGACACCGGCGCUUAUCCCGGAUAAUCUUCUGAACCGCAUGGUUCAAAAGUGAAAUACGGUCUUGCUGUCUCUUCUAGAUGCUUCCGCGCUGCAUUAGCUAGUUGGUAAGGUAACGGCUUACCAAGGCAACGAUGCCUAGACGACCUGAGAGAGGGAUAGGCGACACGAGAGCGGGGACACGGUCAAGGCGCCUAAGAGAGGCAGCAGAAGGGAAUGUGACGCAAUAGGCGAAAGCAUGACGGAGCGGCGCCGCGUGAGUGAUGAAGGUGUUCGGAUCGUAAAAAUCGGUUAUUGGGGAAGAACAGAUGUGGAAGUAACUGUGCACAUCGUGACGGUAACUAAUCAGAAAGCCACGGCUAACUACGUG